This is a long non-coding RNA of Pogoniulus pusillus (Red-fronted tinkerbird), 981 nucleotides long. RefSeq lists it as uncharacterized. NCBI's taxonomy places the organism in Eukaryota, Metazoa, Chordata, Aves, Piciformes, Lybiidae. The record is from RefSeq and is a predicted model, not a curated record. The transcript has 3 exons.
UGAGACUUUGGGGUUUGAUUUGUUUGAUUUCCCACCUGGCUUUUAGCCAAAUCUCUCUCUGGUCAGAUUUGGUGGCAUUUGUUUGUUUUUCACUCCUCCUUCUACCCCCGCAGCACCUGAAGUGAAUUGAAGUCUCCUCCCCCCCCAGCUGUGGCCACUUUGCCCUCCCUGCUCAGUGCCCUUUAUAAGCAGUGCAGGAGGAGCCCAGCCCUAAGCUGGGCCCAUUGUGGAUCAAGGGAUCCUCUGCCCGGCGUCCCAGGGAGCUUAAUUGCUUUAGCCAAAAUCAAGUUUGAGAGAUGUGUGGAGCCUCAGCCACAAACCCUGACUGUUGGGGGAUGCUUUGAUAGCAGAAUGCAGAGCUGCUGGAAACCCAGCUCCUCCUUGCAAGUGGUUCAGAAUGGGACUCCCUUUGGAAAAUGGGGACAGAAACCUCUCUUUGAGAAUGAAGAUUAUGGAGGGGAAACUGAGGUGACUUCAGAGCAGAGGAUAUUUUGAAGGAAAAAGCUGAACAGGUCUAUUGGGAAGGAAGCAAAAACUCUGGAGGAAAAAUCUGAGGUAAACAAGAGGACACAAGUGACAUUUUAUAGGGGAAAAAAGUGAGUUAGUCUCUAGGGGAUAAAAAUGAAGACUGUAGGAGGGAAAAGCUGAGGUGAUUGGGUGGAACAGAGCUGACAUGAUGCAUGAAAAAACUUAGGGUAACCCAUAGGGGAGACCAUGACCAUUUUGGAGGGAAAUCCUGAGGUAGGUGAGGGUAUGUGGGUAACAUAUUAAAAGAGAGACCUAAGAUAGUGUCUGUGAAACAAGAUACUCUUGUGUCACCAGAGUUAUAGUCAGAGGCAAGUCCCUUUGGCCAGAGUACCUUGCUCACCUCCCAUUCUCCAGCCCGAUGCCGAUCCUCUUUGCGAUGUGUCUUGCUUCGUGAUUCCAUGCCACGCCUCUUCCACCAUCAGUGUCAGCUGCUGCUGAGGAAGAAGGACAGAG